AACAAACGCUGGCGGCGUGCCUAAUACAUGCAAGUCGAACGGGGAAAGCUUUCGGGUGAGUACUAGUGGCGCACGGGUGAGUAACGCGUGGAUAAUCUGCCCUCGAAUGGGGAAUAACUAGUCGAAAGAUUAGCUAAUACCGCAUAAGACCACGACUACUGAGGUAGUUGGGGUCAAAGGAGCAAUUCGUUUGAGGAUGAGUCCGCGUAAGAUUAGCUAGUUGGUGAGGUAAUGGCUCACCAAGGCGAUGAUCUUUAACUGGUCUGAGAGGAUGAUCAGUCACACUGGAACUGAGACACGGUCCAGACUCCUACGGGAGGCAGCAGUAGGGAAUAUUGGACAAUGGGGGCAACCCUGAUCCAGCGACGCCGCGUGAGCGAUGAAGGCCUUCGGGUCGUAAAGCUCUGUUGUAAGGGAAAAAGUUCUGAUUGUACCUUACGAGAAAGGAUCGGCUAACUUCGUGCCAGCCGCCGCCGUAA
This 479-nucleotide ribosomal RNA is filed under the name uncultured bacterium. Its description in RNAcentral is "partial 16S ribosomal RNA". It matches the Rfam family "Bacterial small subunit ribosomal RNA", at positions 29 to 523 of the family's 1533-position model. The record is from RNAcentral.